CUGGGACCCAAGUGGGAGCACUCAGGCCCCACACUAAUGUCCCCUUCUGGGAGGUGGCCCAUCAUUCAGCAGGACUCCUGGCCCCCCUGCCCUCCCUUCUUCCUGUGGAGUCUCUGAGGCUGGAGUUCUGUGAAGGUUCUGGUGAAUUUUCGGCGUGGAUGAGGCAUGGUCAGAAGAGCAGGCACCCUUUGAAACUCUUGCCCUCACCCAUGACUGUUUGACUUCUCAUGUGAGCAGAAAGGAGAUGUUUUGGGUCAAAUUCAACUCACCAUCUUCUCUUCAGGCCUCAUCGGUCUUGCCAGGACCUCAGAUUCACUGUCUUGCUGCUGACUUCGUGAAGACAUUUUUAUUUUGCAGAAGGACACGAGGAGAGACUCUGCAUUGGGAGUGUGCAUGGCAGGGAGAAGGUCCAUAGAAGGAGAGGGGUCUGCAUCUCACAAACCUCUUAGAUUCCACAGGAGGGAUGUGACAGUCCCCAUGAAAGAA
Molecule: long non-coding RNA, 486 nt
Organism: Myotis myotis
Lineage: Eukaryota; Metazoa; Chordata; Mammalia; Chiroptera; Vespertilionidae
Exons: 3
Source: RefSeq, a predicted model, not a curated record